This 472-nucleotide ribosomal RNA is filed under the name uncultured bacterium. RNAcentral describes it as "bacterial SSU rRNA". It matches the Rfam family "Bacterial small subunit ribosomal RNA", at positions 355 to 825 of the family's 1533-position model. The record is from RNAcentral.
UGGGGAAUUUUGGACAAUGGGGGCAACCCUGAUCCAGCCAUGCCGCGUGAGUGAAGAAGGCCUUCGGGUUGUAAAGCUCUUUCGGACGGAACGAAAUGGUCAGGGUGAAUAUCCCUGACUGAUGACGGUACUGUAAGAAGAAGCACCGGCUAACUACGUGCCAGCAGCCGCGGUAAUACGGAGGGUGCGAGCGUUGUUCGGAAUCACUGGGCGUAAAGCGCGUGUAGGCGGUCUGCUAAGUCUGAUGUGAAAGCCCGGGGCUCACCCCCGGAAGUGCAUUGGAAACUGACAGACUGGAGUCCCGGAGAGGAGGGUGGAAUUCCUGGUGUAGCGGUGAAAUGCGUAGAUAUCAGGAGGAACACCGGUGGCGAAGGCGGCCCUCUGGACGGUGACUGACGCUGAGACGCGAAAGCGUGGGGAGCAAACAGGAUUAGAUACCCCGGUAGUCCCUGAGCGGGCUGGCAAGGCGCAU